Molecule: ribosomal RNA, 494 nt
Filed under: uncultured bacterium
Lineage: Bacteria
Description: partial 16S ribosomal RNA
Rfam family: Bacterial small subunit ribosomal RNA
Source: RNAcentral
GACGAACGCUGGCGGCGUGCUUAACACAUGCAAGUCGAACGGAAAGGCCUGCUUUCCCUUGUGGAUUGCGGGUACUCGAGUGGCGAACGGGUGAGUAACACGUGAGUGAUCUGCCCCCAACUUGGGUAUAAGCCUGGGAAACUGGGUCUAAUUCCCGAUAGGACUGCAGGGUGGUGCCUGUGGUGGAAAACGAUUUUCUAGUGGUUGGGGAUGAGCUCGCGGCCUAUCAGCUUGUUGGUGGGGUAAUGGCCUACCAAGGCGGCGACGGGUAGCCGGCCUGAGGGAGUGGACGGCCACAUUGGGAGUGAGAUACGGCACAGACUCCUACGGGAGGCAGCAGUGGGGAAUAUUGCAAAAUGGGCGGAAGCCUGAUGCAGCGACGCCGCGUGGGGGAUGACGGCCUUCGGGUUGUAAACUCCUUUCGACCGCGAGGAAGCCACCUGGUUGGAAGGGUGGUGACGGUAGUGGUAGAAGAAGCACCGGCUAACUACGUG